AUUGAACGCUGGCGGCAGGCCUAACACAUGCAAGUCGAGCGGAUGAAGGGAGCUUGCUCCUGGAUUCAGCGGCGGACGGGUGAGUAAUGCCUAGGAAUCUGCCUGGUAGUGGGGGAUAACGUCCGGAAACGGGCGCUAAUACCGCAUACGUCCUGAGGGAGAAAGUGGGGGAUCUUCGGACCUCACGCUAUCAGAUGAGCCUAGGUCGGAUUAGCUAGUUGGUGGGGUAAAGGCCUACCAAGGCGACGAUCCGUAACUGGUCUGAGAGGAUGAUCAGUCACACUGGAACUGAGACACGGUCCAGACUCCGAAGGGAGGCAGCAGUGGGGAAUAUUGGACGAUGGGCGAAAGCCUGAUCCAGCCAUGCCGCGUGUGUGAAGAAGGUCUUCGGAUUGUAAAGCACUUUAAGUUGGGAGGAAGGGCAGUAAGUUAAUACCUUGCUGUUUUGACGUUACCAACAGAAUAAGCACCGGCUAACUUCGUG
RNAcentral lists this ribosomal RNA (484 nucleotides) under uncultured bacterium. Its description in RNAcentral is "partial 16S ribosomal RNA". It matches the Rfam family "Bacterial small subunit ribosomal RNA", at positions 30 to 507 of the family's 1533-position model. The record is from RNAcentral.